UUGGAGUUUUAUUCCAGCUCAAAAAUUGGAUUUUUUUUUUACUUAAAUGUGAAUUUUUGUAAUUGGUUAUUUUAAAUAAAUAAUUUUAAUGCAAUAAGUAGUAUUAAAUAUUAAAGAAAUUUAGAUUUAGAAAUAAAAAGAUAAUAUUAACAAAAUUUGUGCCAGCAGUUGCGGUUAUACAAAUAAUAUGAUUCAAUUUAAUUAGCAUUAAUUAAUUUAUAAUAUAAUAAUUUUAAAUUAAAAUUUAUUAGGUGAAAUUAUUAAAUUUUAAUAAAAUUUGCUGUUUUUAAUGAAGUUAAGAAAUUUAAUUAAUAAACUAGGAUUAGAUACCCUAUUAUUUUGAAUGUACUUUUAAAUGCUAAAUUAGUAUUAGUUAUGUUCUUGAAAAUUAAAGAUUUUGGCGGUAUUUUAGUCUAUUCAGAGGAACCUGUUCUAUAAUUGAUAGUCCACGAUUUAAUUUACUUUUUUUAUUAGUUUGUAUAUCGUCGUAAUUUGAAUAUUUUAUAAGAAAAAUAAUAUUCAAAAUUUUUUAUUUAAAAAAUAAAUCAGAUCAAGGUGCAGUUUAUAAAAAAGAAGAAAUGGGUUACAAUAAAAUUAUUUAAGGAUUACUAAUUUUAAAAUAGUAUGAAUUUGGAUUUGAGGGUAAAUUUAAUUAAUUAAUUAAAUUGAUUUUAGCUCUAAAAUAUGUACAUAUCGCCCGUCGCUUUCAUUUUAAUAUGAAAUAAGUCGUAACAAAGUAGAUUUACUGGAAAGUGAAUCUAGAAGCAC
This 768-nucleotide non-coding RNA is filed under the name Chrysolina rufoaenea. The record is from RNAcentral. Lineage: Eukaryota; Metazoa; Arthropoda; Insecta; Coleoptera; Chrysomelidae.